GGGCUACUAGCUCAGCUGGUUAGAGCACUCCGCUCAUAACGGAUAGGUCGCUGGUUCAAGUCCAGCGUGGCCCACCA
RNAcentral lists this transfer RNA (77 nucleotides) under Methyloprofundus sp. Its description in RNAcentral is "tRNA-Ile". It matches the Rfam family "tRNA". Rfam says of the family: Transfer RNA (tRNA) molecules are approximately 80 nucleotides in length. Their secondary structure includes four short double-helical elements and three loops (D, anti-codon, and T loops). Lineage: Bacteria; Pseudomonadati; Pseudomonadota; Gammaproteobacteria; Methylococcales; Methylococcaceae. The record is from RNAcentral.